GGUGACGUGGCCGAGAGGCGAGGCAGCGGCCUGCAAAGCCGCGUACACGGGUUCGAAUCCCGUCGUCACCU
RNAcentral lists this transfer RNA (71 nucleotides) under Pseudoclavibacter endophyticus. It matches the Rfam family "tRNA". From Rfam's summary of the family: Transfer RNA (tRNA) molecules are approximately 80 nucleotides in length. Their secondary structure includes four short double-helical elements and three loops (D, anti-codon, and T loops). Lineage: Bacteria; Bacillati; Actinomycetota; Actinomycetes; Micrococcales; Microbacteriaceae. The record is from Rfam by way of RNAcentral.